RNAcentral lists this long non-coding RNA (1005 nucleotides) under Oryctolagus cuniculus (rabbit). RNAcentral's name for it is "lncRNA (ENSOCUG00000034042.1)". Lineage: Eukaryota; Metazoa; Chordata; Mammalia; Lagomorpha; Leporidae. The record is from RNAcentral.
AUGAAACCCUCAGAAAGCCAUCUGCGAAAUCCCCGCGGGCGCCCCCCAACUACAAGGCCACUCCAACUACCAGAGCCCAGCCAGCGACAAGCCUCGGAGGACUGCAUCUCCCAGAGCCCCGUGGGCGCCCGCCUCAGACUGCAUCUCCCAGAACCCCGUGGGCGCCUGCCUCAGACUGCAUCUCCCAGAGGCCCGUGGGCGCCUGCCUCAGGCUCCAUCUCCCAGAGCCCCGUGGGUGUCCAGCUUCCUAGGACUCCGUCUCACGGAGGGCCCUGCUGGCAUGCCCUCUUUGAGGACUCCAGCUUCCAGAGCCCCCUGAGCAUGAAAACCUCAGAAAGCCAUCUGCGAAAGCCCCGCGGGCGCCCCCCGCGACUCCAACUACCAGAGCCCAGCCAGCGACAAGCCUCGGAGGACUCCAUCUCCCAGGGGUCCCCGCGGGCAUCAUACGUCAGAGGACCGCGUCUUCCAGAUCGCACUGUGGUCUCCCGCUUCAGACUCCAUCUCCCAGAGGUCCCCCGCGCACUGUGUAUCAGAGGACCGCGUCUCCCAGAACUCCACGCCAUCUCCCAGAGCCCAGCGGGCAACAAACCUCAGAGGACUAAAUCUCCCAGGGUUCCCCGCGGGCAUCAGACGUCAGAGGACCGCGUCUCCCAGAAUGCACUGUGGUCUCCCGCUUCAGACUCCAUCUCCCAGAGGUCCCCGCGCUCACUGUGCGUCAGAGGGCCACGUCUGCCUGAACACCUCGCGGGCGCUCAUCUCAGACUAACUUUCCAGGGUCCUGUGAGCGCCAGCCUCAGACUCCAUCUCCCAGAGUUCCUAGCAGGAUGCUCACGUCAGAGGACCGCUUCUCCCAGAACACCUUGCAGGCGCUCGCCUCAGACUCCAUCUCCAGCGGCAAGCUUCAAAGGACUCCAUCUCCCAGCGAUCCCCGCGGGCGCGCACACACACACACGCACACACACACACACACACACACACGUUGUCCUCAGAACGAUGGAGCCCUAG